Molecule: ribosomal RNA, 694 nt
Filed under: uncultured Snodgrassella sp.
Lineage: Bacteria; Pseudomonadati; Pseudomonadota; Betaproteobacteria; Neisseriales; Neisseriaceae
Description: bacterial SSU rRNA
Rfam family: Bacterial small subunit ribosomal RNA
Source: RNAcentral
UAGAAUUCCACGUGUAGCAGUGAAAUGCGUAGAGAUGUGGAGGAAUACCGAUGGCGAAGGCAGCCUCCUGGGAUAACACUGACGUUCAUGCUCGAAAGCGUGGGUAGCAAACAGGAUUAGAUACCCUGGUAGUCCACGCCCUAAACGAUGACAAUUAGCUGUUGGGACACUAGAUGUUUUAGUAGCGAAGCUAACGCGUGAAAUUGUCCGCCUGGGGAGUACGGUCGCAAGAUUAAAACUCAAAGGAAUUGACGGGGACCCGCACAGGCGGUGGAUGAUGUGGAUUAAUUCGAUGCAACGCGAAGAACCUUACCUGGUCUUGACAUGUACGGAAUCUCUUAGAGAUAGGAGAGUGCCUUCGGGAGCCGUAACACAGGUGCUGCAUGGCUGUCGUCAGUUCGUGUCGUGAGAUGUUGGGUUAAGUCCCGCAACGAGCGCAACCCUUGUCAUUAGUUGCCAUCAUUAAGUUGGGCACUCUAAUGAGACUGCCGGUGACAAACCGGAGGAAGGUGGGGAUGACGUCAAGUCCUCAUGGCCCUUAUGACCAGGGCUUCACACGUCAUACAAUGGUCGGUACAGAGGGUAGCGAAGCCGCGAGGUGAAGCCAAUCUCAGAAAGCCGAUCGUAGUCCGGAUUGCACUCUGCAACUCGAGUGCAUGAAGUCGGAAUCGCUAGUAAUCGCAGGUCAGCAUAC